CAAGUGGCGGACGGGUGAGUAACACGUAAGAAUUUACCUUUAGGAGGGGGAUAACAACUGGAAACGGUUGCUAAUACCUCAUAUGCUUUUAAGUAAAAUGAUAUUUUAACGUUAAUUUUGUAUAACAUUUAAACUUUUUAACAUUAAGAAAAAUAUUGCCUAGAGAGAAGCUUGCGGCUGAUUAGCUUGUUGGUAAGGUAAUGGCUUACCAAGGCGACGAUCAGUAUCUGGUUUGAGAGGAUGAUCAGACACACUGGAACUGAGACACGGUCCAGACUCCUACGGGAGGCAGCAGUGGGGAAUUUUCCGCAAUGGGCGAAAGCCUGACGGAGCAAUACCGCGUGAGGGAUGACUGCCUAUGGGUUGUAAACCUCUUUUUUCAGGGAGGAAGAAAUGACGUGUACCUGAAGAAUAAGCAUCGGCUAACUCC
Molecule: ribosomal RNA, 430 nt
Filed under: uncultured bacterium
Lineage: Bacteria
Description: bacterial SSU rRNA
Rfam family: Bacterial small subunit ribosomal RNA
Source: RNAcentral